RNAcentral lists this long non-coding RNA (425 nucleotides) under Cairina moschata (Muscovy duck). RNAcentral's name for it is "domestica (muscovy Duck (domestic type)) lncRNA (ENSCMMG00000013996.1)". The record is from RNAcentral. Lineage: Eukaryota; Metazoa; Chordata; Aves; Anseriformes; Anatidae.
AUGGCACCCAGGUGGGGUGUAGAUAUCUCCAGAGGAGACCCCCCACCCUCUCUGGGCGAUGAGAUCUCAUACACUGCCUCGCAUGUGCAGCUGGUGCUCCAGAACCUUCUGGAAAGAGCUCAGACACAACUAAACCCAGUGGGGGCAGCUCUGACUGAACGCAACCUAAAGCAGGACUACUGCAUUCGCUGCCAUCGGCAAAUAUUCAUUAGCAAAUUCUCCCGCAGCCACUUGUACGCUUCAUGGGAGGCUGGAAGAAAAGAAAAAAAAAAAAGAGGAUGUGAAAUAAUCCUUGGCUUAUCAGGGAAAGCCUCCUGCGGAAUCCUAGCCUAGGCAGAGAAGCACAGUGCUGGUUUUUCAAAACUUCGGACACCAGAAGUGUGGGACUUACCGGGGGGAAGGGCAGAUAACACAGAACACAUCCC